Molecule: unclassified non-coding RNA, 322 nt
Filed under: Hevea brasiliensis (rubber tree)
Lineage: Eukaryota; Viridiplantae; Streptophyta; Magnoliopsida; Malpighiales; Euphorbiaceae
Source: RNAcentral
UGGUGGUGGUAGUCGAGUGGUGGUGAUGGUAGCACAGCUGCACAGGUGACAGAGUGGUGGUGGUUUUGAUUGUAAUGUUGAUAAUAAAUAAAAUAAAAAAUGAAAAAGUAAUUAUGAUUAUACUUAUUUUGUAUCUAAAUAAAUUACUUAAAUUGUAAUUGAUUAUAUGUAUAAUUGUCAUUCCAUUACUUGAAAUUUUUUUGUGUUACCAUAAUUACAUUACAAUGUUAAUUAUGUCAUAUCAAACAUGGUCUAAAUUCAUGUUUUCCCACACAAACUGGGUUAUGUGACCUUCAUGGCUUAUUUUUCCUUUUCAUUGUGG